Non-coding RNA from Gossypium hirsutum (cotton), 87 nucleotides. The record is from Rfam. Lineage: Eukaryota; Viridiplantae; Streptophyta; Magnoliopsida; Malvales; Malvaceae.
CACGUCAGUGCGCUUUGCUGACAUAGCAACAAAUCGCGCUUCAGAGGACGCGAUUUGUGUCCACGUCAGCAAAUCACGCUGACAUGG